UGGAUUUAUCCCCUGGUGGACGGACUCCC
RNAcentral lists this non-coding RNA (29 nucleotides) under Rattus norvegicus (Norway rat). The record is from RNAcentral. Lineage: Eukaryota; Metazoa; Chordata; Mammalia; Rodentia; Muridae.